This is a non-coding RNA of Podarcis lilfordi (Lilford's wall lizard), 77 nucleotides long. The record is from the annotation of a GenBank genome assembly. NCBI's taxonomy places the organism in Eukaryota, Metazoa, Chordata, Lepidosauria, Squamata, Lacertidae.
GCCCUUUGACCACGUGCAGUUGGUAGGUCAUGAGGCCCUUAAUCUCAGGGUUAUGGGUUCGAGCCCCACGUUGGACA